AACAAAUCCUCCAGUGACUGUGCU
This 24-nucleotide non-coding RNA is filed under the name Cricetulus griseus (Chinese hamster). The record is from RNAcentral. Lineage: Eukaryota; Metazoa; Chordata; Mammalia; Rodentia; Cricetidae.